RNAcentral lists this ribosomal RNA (493 nucleotides) under uncultured bacterium. RNAcentral's name for it is "partial 16S ribosomal RNA". It matches the Rfam family "Bacterial small subunit ribosomal RNA", at positions 28 to 523 of the family's 1533-position model. The record is from RNAcentral.
GACGAACGCUGGCGGCGUGCUUAACACAUGCAAGUCGAACGCUGAAGCCCUUUCGGGAGUGGAUGAGUGGCGAACGGGUGAGUAACACGUGGGUAAUCUGCCCUGUACUUCGGGAUAAGCCUUGGAAACGGGGUCUAAUACCGGAUAGGACCUGUCCUCGCAUGGGGGUGGGUGGAAAGUUCCGGCGGUAUGGGAUGAGCCCGCGGCCUAUCAGCUUGUUGGUGGGGUAGUGGCCUACCAAGGCGACGACGGGUAGCCGGCCUGAGAGGGUGACCGGUCACACUGGGACUGGGACACGGCCCAGACUCCUACGGGAGGCAGCAGUGGGGAAUCUUGCGCAAUGGGCGAAAGCCUGACGCAGCAACGCCGCGUGGGGGAUGACGGCCUUCGGGUUGUAAACCUCUUUCGACAUCGACGAAGGGGCCCUGUUGUGGGGUUUUGACGGUAGGUGUAGAAGAAGCACCGGCUAACUACGUGCCAGCAGCCGCCGUAA